Molecule: ribosomal RNA, 378 nt
Filed under: Ignavibacteria bacterium
Lineage: Bacteria; Pseudomonadati; Ignavibacteriota; Ignavibacteria
Description: bacterial SSU rRNA
Rfam family: Bacterial small subunit ribosomal RNA
Source: RNAcentral
CUUUUUGAGAGUUUGAUCCUGGCUCAGGAUGAACGCUGGCGGCGUGGCUAAGGCAUGCAAGUCGAAUGCGCCCUGCUUCAACAAUUAACACUUAACUAUUAACUUUUUACUUACAAAGAUAAUUAAAAAUUAAUAGUUAAUUGUUAAAAGUUAAAAGUUAAUUGUUGAAGCAGGGCGCAUGGCAAACGGGAGAGUAACACAUUGGUAACAUACCUUGAGGACGAGCAUAACCCGGAGAAAUCCGGAGUAAUACUCGAUAAUAGCGGGGGGUCAAAAGACAUUCCCGCUUAAAGUUCCGGCGCCUCAAGAGUGGCCUAUGGCCUAUCAGCUUGUUGGUGAGGUAAAAGCUCACCAAGGCGACGAUCAGUAGCUGGUCUG